Molecule: ribosomal RNA, 254 nt
Filed under: uncultured bacterium
Lineage: Bacteria
Description: partial 16S ribosomal RNA
Rfam family: Bacterial small subunit ribosomal RNA
Source: RNAcentral
UACGUAGGGGGCGAGCGUUGUCCGAAGUUACUGGGCGUAAAGCGCGCGUAGGCGGCUAAUUAAGUCUGAGGUGAAAGGUUCAACGCUCAACGUGAACAGUGCCUUGGAUACUGGUUGGCUUGAAUGUGGCAGAGGAGCAUGGAAUUCCUGGUGUAGCGGUGAAAUGCGUAGAUAUCAGGAGGAAUACCAAUGGCGAAGGCAGUGCUCUGGGCUAACAUUGACGCUGAGGUGCGAAAGCGUGGGGAGCAAACGGG